CCAAUACCUGCAAGUCGAGCGGACAGAUGGGAGCUUGCUCCCUGAUGUUAGCGGCGGACGGGUGAGUAACACGUGGGUAACCUGCCUGUAAGACUGGGAUAACUCCGGGAAACCGGGGCUAAUACCGGAUGGUUGUCUGAACCGCAUGGUUCAGACAUAAAAGGUGGCUUCGGCUACCACUUACAGAUGGACCCGCGGCGCAUUAGCUAGUUGGUGAGGUAACGGCUCACCAAGGCGACGAUGCGUAGCCGACCUGAGAGGGUGAUCGGCCACACUGGGACUGAGACACGGCCCAGACUCCUACGGGAGGCAGCAGUAGGGAAUCUUCCGCAAUGGACGAAAGUCUGACGGAGCAACGCCGCGUGAGUGAUGAAGGUUUUCGGAUCGUAAAGCUCUGUUGUUAGGGAAGAACAAGUGCCGUUCAAAUAGGGCGGCACCUUGACGGUACCUAACCAGAAAGCCACGGCUAACUACGUGCCAGCAGCCGCGGUAAUACGUAGGUGGCAAGCGUUGUCCGGAAUUAUUGGGCGUAAAGGGCUCGCAGGCGGUUUCUUAAGUCUGAUGUGAAAGCCCCCGGCUCAACCGGGGAGGGUCAUUGGAAACUGGGGAACUUGAGUGCAGAAGAGGAGAGUGGAAUUCCACGUGUAGCGGUGAAAUGCGUAGAGAUGUGGAGGAACACCAGUGGCGAAGGCGACUCUCUGGUCUGUAACUGACGCUGAGGAGCGAAAGCGUGGGGAGCGAACAGGAUUAGAUACCCUGGUAGUCCACGCCGUAAACGAUGAGUGCUAAGUGUUAGGGGGUUUCCGCCCCUUAGUGCUGCAGCUAACGCAUUAAGCACUCCGCCUGGGGAGUACGGUCGCAAGACUGAAACUCAAAGGAAUUGACGGGGGCCCGCACAAGCGGUGGAGCAUGUGGUUUAAUUCGAAGCAACGCGAAGAACCUUACCAGGUCUUGACAUCCUCUGACAAUCCUAGAGAUAGGACGUCCCCUUCGGGGGCAGAGUGACAGGUGGUGCAUGGUUGUCGUCAGCUCGUGUCGUGAAAUGUUGGGUUAAGUCCCGCAACGAGCGCAACCCUUGAUCUUAGUUGCCAGCAUUCAGUUGGGCACUCUAAGGUGACUGCCGGUGACA
RNAcentral lists this ribosomal RNA (1129 nucleotides) under Bacillus amyloliquefaciens. Its description in RNAcentral is "bacterial SSU rRNA". It matches the Rfam family "Bacterial small subunit ribosomal RNA", at positions 48 to 1160 of the family's 1533-position model. Lineage: Bacteria; Bacillati; Bacillota; Bacilli; Caryophanales; Bacillaceae. The record is from RNAcentral.